Molecule: long non-coding RNA, 1516 nt
Organism: Xiphophorus maculatus (southern platyfish)
Lineage: Eukaryota; Metazoa; Chordata; Actinopteri; Cyprinodontiformes; Poeciliidae
Exons: 9
Source: RefSeq, a predicted model, not a curated record
UGAGAGCGGAGCGGAGGAGCGCGGCAUGUCCGCGGGACGCGCGGCUCACACGGGGAGGGCAUGGGGACGCCAGCAGCAUGGUUCAAGGACAGAACGGGACUGACGUCACCAAACGACGACGCAGCAGCAGGACAGUAGUUAUCGAGUGAAACAGAGGAGAAACAGAGGAGUCUUCCUGCCACGGAUCCGGAGAGCAGGGCAGCGCAGACAGCGACAGGAGAGGGUAUUAACCUUUCUCCCGCUGAGAGCCAGGAAGUGGGUGGUGACGGCACACGGAGAGGAGAUGGAACCGAGCGGGAAGGAGGGUGAAGCCGGAGUUGCAGCUGUAGUAGAGGACCGUCCCCUCCGCCGGGGGCCCCGGGGGCCGCGCCGUCACCCUGCCGUUCUCCAGGGACGUCCACACCUUGGGGCACUGCAGCACUGAGGGGGAGCAGAGCAGAAGGCCGGAGAUAUGAAUCCAGACCUGCAGCCGCCUGACCCUGGAUGGGUCAAACAGCAGCUUUCACACACCUGUGCAGCAAAGCUGAUUCAGAUGACCCAGCUUUUCACCAGCACUUAAACGCAGCACUGCGACAGCAUGAAGAAAACCUCCAAACCUGGAGACUUAAACGCACCACAGAAACAACCUCAGCAGGAGAUACAGAGAAACCAGGAAGUAACGACAAGGAGAGGAGACGAGCCAAACCUGAGGAUGAGGAGCUUAAACACUGGGAGGCUGGUAGUGGGAACACUGGACCCGGGCUGAUGAGCUAACUGACUGCAGGUGCCUCGGUAGCGGAUCCCUCCGUCCCGCGGAGGCCGGAUGAUGGCACAGCCUGCACAGGAAGAGACAGGAUGAAGGACAGGAAGAGGACAGGAGGACAGCAGGGGACAUCUGUCUUCAGGUCCCGGAGGAGUCCUGGAGGAAGUUCAUCCGUCAUAAGGAUCAUGAUCCCUCAGUCGCACAGGAGCAGCUAAAGCAAAGGAGCUGGAGGAGCAGAACUGACACCUGAUGAUGAUGAUGAUGAUGAUGAUGAUGAUGAUGAUGAUGAUGAUGAUGAUGAUGAUGAUGAUGAUGAUGAUGAUGAUGAUGAUGGAAUAUCGUCUCUGCAGCCCGAAUGUUGAGCUGUUAGCAACAUGCUAGCAGUCUUCAGUCAGAGGCUUCUUUAGACUGGUUACGAGACUGACUGCUACUGGAGAUUCUUCCUCCCCACAGCAUCAGGAGCCACAUGAUGAUUGGAGUUAUGAUAAUAUCUAACUUCCGUUUGGGAUGAAUAGAAGAUUUUUUUAAUUUGAAUUAAAUUGAGAAGGACAGGGAGAUGCUGGUUCUGCAAACAGAUCCAGAUGUUAUCACAGUGAGCAGCCAUGGUUCUUAUGCCAGAACUAAACAUGUCGUUUAGAAAAGCAAUGGGUCCAAAUCCAGAACCCUGUGGGACACCAACUGUGUGAAACUACCUGACAUAUAUCUAUAAAAACAUUUUAUGGUUUGUAAUCUCAGGUUAGAACAAGAUCAAUAAAAUCUCCAGAAACACUUGAA